UUGCAAGCUGCAACCGAUGACCUUUCAAUGCUGUUACUUUGGCAUCUUCCUUGAUUAAUUGACUGCAUGUAGAUAAAAAAAGGAACGGAAGGAGAGCUACCAUGCACAACCGUACGCAACUCCACCAGCAAUCAUUAAUUGCAUGCCUAACGUGGGUCUCCCAAUUCCUUGAAGCAUGGGUGGACCGUUUCAUUAAGGUAUAAUCGCCUCAUUAUGUGGCUAAUUGGUGAGUAUUCC
This 237-nucleotide long non-coding RNA is filed under the name Hordeum vulgare. Its description in RNAcentral is "long non-coding RNA (HVUL_LNC010368)". Lineage: Eukaryota; Viridiplantae; Streptophyta; Magnoliopsida; Poales; Poaceae. The record is from RNAcentral.